This 789-nucleotide ribosomal RNA is filed under the name uncultured bacterium. Its description in RNAcentral is "bacterial SSU rRNA". It matches the Rfam family "Bacterial small subunit ribosomal RNA", at positions 1 to 833 of the family's 1533-position model. The record is from RNAcentral.
AAUUCGAUUAGUUUGAUCAUGGCUCAGAGCGAACGCUGGCGGCAGGCCUAACACAUGCAAGUCGAGCGCCCGUAGCAAUACGGGAGCGGCAGACGGGAGAGUAACACGUGGGAACGUACCCUUCAGUUCGGAACAACCAAGGGAAACUUUGGCUAAUACCGGAUACGUCCGUAAGGAGAAAGAUUUAUCGCUGAAGGAUCGGCCCGCGUCUGAUUAGCUAGUUGGUGAGGUAACGGCCCACCAAGGCGACGAUCAGUAGCUGGUCUGAGAGGAUGAUCAGCCUCAUUGGGACUGAGACACGGCCCAAACUCCUACGGGAGGCAGCAGUGGGGAAUAUUGGACAAUGGGCGCAAGCCUGAUCCAGCCAUGCCGCGUGGGUGAUGAAGGCCCUAGGGUUGUAAAGCCCUUUCGGCGGGGAAGAUAAUGACGGUACCCGCAGAAGAAGCCCCGGCUAACUUCGUGCCAGCAGCCGCGGUAAUACGAAGGGGGCUAGCGUUGCUCGGAAUCACUGGGCGUAAAGCGCACGUAGGCGGAUUUCUAAGUCAGGGGUGAAAUCCUGGAGCUCAACUCCAGAACUGCCUUUGAUACUGGGAAUCUUCGAGUCCGGGAGAGGUGAGUGGAACUGCGAGUGUAGAGGUGAAAUUCGUAGAUAUUCGCAAGAACACCAGUGGCGAAGGCGGCUCACUGGCCCGGUACUGACGCUGAGGUGCGAAAGCGUGGGGAGCAGACAGGAUUAGAUACCCUGGUAGUCCACGCCGUAAACGAUGGAUGCUAGCUGUUGGUGGGUUU